RNAcentral lists this ribosomal RNA (657 nucleotides) under uncultured bacterium. RNAcentral's name for it is "bacterial SSU rRNA". It matches the Rfam family "Bacterial small subunit ribosomal RNA", at positions 60 to 715 of the family's 1533-position model. The record is from RNAcentral.
AGUCGAGCGGGGAUUAUCGAAUGAAGUUUUCGGAUGGAUUUUGAUAAUUCUAGCGGCGGACGGGUGAGUAACGCGUGAGCAACCUGCCUUUCACAGGGGGAUAACGCAUCGAAAGGUGCACUAAUACCGCAUGAGACCACGCUCCCGACAUGAGAGAGGGGUCAAAGGAGCAAUCCGGUGAGAGAUGGGCUCGCGUCUGAUUAGCUGGUUGGUGAGGUAACGGCCCACCAAGGCGACGAUCAGUAGCCGACCUGAGAGGGUGAUCGGCCACAUUGGAACUGAGAGACGGUCCAAACUCCUACGGGAGGCAGCAGUGGGGAAUAUUGGGCAAUGGGGGAAACCCUGACCCAGCAACGCCGCGUGAAGGAAGAAGGUUUUCGGAUCGUAAACUUCUAUCCUUGGUGAAAAUAGUGAUGGUAGCCAAGAAGGAAGCCCCGGCUAACUACGUGCCAGCAGCCGCGGUAAUACGUAGGGGGCAAGCGUUGUCCGGAAUGAUUGGGCGUAAAGGGCGCGUAGGCGGCCUGGUAAGUUUGAAGUGAAAGUCCUUCUUUUAAGGAGGGAACUGCUUUGAAAACUGUCGGGCUUGAGUGCAGGAGAGGUAAGCGGAAUUCCCGGUGUAGCGGUGAAAUGCGUAGAGAUCGGGAGGAACACCAGUGG